Molecule: ribosomal RNA, 468 nt
Filed under: uncultured bacterium
Lineage: Bacteria
Description: partial 16S ribosomal RNA
Rfam family: Bacterial small subunit ribosomal RNA
Source: RNAcentral
GACGAACGCUGGCGGCGUGCUUAACACAUGCAAGUCGAACGGAAAGGCCCUGCUUUUGUGGGGUGCUCGAGUGGCGAACGGGUGAGUAACACGUGAGUAACCUGCCCUUGACUUUGGGAUAACUUCAGGAAACUGGGGCUAAUACCGGAUAGGAGCUCCUGCUGCAUGGUGGGGGUUGGAUAGUUUCGGCGGUUGGUGAUGGACUCGCGGCUUAUCAGCUUGUUGGUUGGGUAGUGGCUUACCAAGGCUUUGACGGGUAGCCGAGCUGAGAGGGGGACCGGCCACAUUAGGACUGAGAUGCGGCACAGACUCCUACGGGAGGCAGCGGUGGGGAAUAUUGCACAAUGGGCGGAAGCCUGAUGCAGCCACGCCGCGUGCGGGAUGACGGCAUUCGGGUUGUAAACCGCUUUCGCCUGUGACGAAGCGUGAGUGACGGUAAUGGGUAAAGAAGCACCGGCUAACUACGUG